This 641-nucleotide ribosomal RNA is filed under the name uncultured Acidobacteriaceae bacterium. RNAcentral describes it as "bacterial SSU rRNA". It matches the Rfam family "Bacterial small subunit ribosomal RNA", at positions 28 to 647 of the family's 1533-position model. Lineage: Bacteria; Pseudomonadati; Acidobacteriota; Terriglobia; Terriglobales; Acidobacteriaceae. The record is from RNAcentral.
AAUCAACGCUGGCGGCGUGCCUCAGACAUGCAAGUCGAACGCGAAAGUUCCCUUCGGGGAGCGAGUAGAGUGGCGCACGGGUGAGUAACACGUAGGUAAUCUACCUUUGGAUGGGGAAUAACCCCGAGAAAUCGGGGCUAAUACCGCAUAAUGCAGCGGCACCUAAUGGUGACAGUUGUUAAAGCGGGGGAUCGAAAGACCUCGCGUCUGAAGAGGAGCCUGCGGCGGAUUAGCUAGUUGGUAAGGUAACGGCUUACCAAGGCUAUGAUCCGUAGCCGGCCUGAGAGGGCGGUCGGCCACACUGACACUGACAUACGGGUCAGACUCCUACGGGAGGCAGCAGUCGGGAAUUUUGGGCAAUGGGCGAAAGCCUGACCCAGCAACGCCGCGUGAAGGAUGAAAUCCCUCGGGAUGUAAACUUCGCAAGAACAGGAAGAAUAAGUAGGGGACAAUACCCCCUAUGAUGACGGUACUGUUUGUAAGCUCCGGCUAACUCCGUGCCAGCAGCCGCGGUAAUACGGGGGGAGCAAGCGUUGUUCGGAUUUACUGGGCGUAAAGGGCGCGUAGGCGGCCACCGCAAGUCGGUUGUGAAAUCUCCGGGCUUAACCCGGAAAGGUCAAUCGAUACUGCGGGGCUAGAGU